AUCGAUGAAGAACGCAGCGAAAUGCGAUAAGCAAUGCGAAUUGCAGAAUUCCAGUGAGUCAUCGAAUCUUUGAACGCACAUUGCGCCUUUGGUAUUCCGAAGGGCAUGCCUGUUCGAGCGUCAUUAUCACCCCUCAAGCCCUCGGCUUGGUGUUGGACG
This 159-nucleotide ribosomal RNA is filed under the name Exophiala salmonis. Its description in RNAcentral is "5.8S ribosomal RNA". The stretch from base 1 to 123 matches the Rfam family "5.8S ribosomal RNA", at positions 32 to 154 of the family's 154-position model. From Rfam's summary of the family: 5.8S ribosomal RNA (5.8S rRNA) is a component of the large subunit of the eukaryotic ribosome. The record is from RNAcentral. Lineage: Eukaryota; Fungi; Ascomycota; Eurotiomycetes; Chaetothyriales; Herpotrichiellaceae.